This 468-nucleotide ribosomal RNA is filed under the name uncultured bacterium. Its description in RNAcentral is "partial 16S ribosomal RNA". It matches the Rfam family "Bacterial small subunit ribosomal RNA", at positions 28 to 507 of the family's 1533-position model. The record is from RNAcentral.
GACGAACGCUGGCGGCGUGCUUAACACAUGCAAGUCGAACGGAAAGGCCCUGCUUUUGUGGGGUGCUCGAGUGGCGAACGGGUGAGUAACACGUGAGUAACCUGCCCUUGACUUUGGGAUAACUUCAGGAAACUGGGGCUAAUACCGGAUAGGAGCUCCUGCUGCAUGGUGGGGGUUGGAAAGUUUCGGCGGUUGGGGAUGGACGCGCGGCUUAUCAGCUUGUUGGUGGGGUAGUGGCUGACCAAGGCUUUGACGGGUAGCCGGCCUGAGAGGGUGACCGGCCACAUUGGGACUGAGAUAGGGCCCAGACUGCUACGGGAGGCAGCAGUGGGGAAUCUUGCACAACGGGCGGAAGCCUGAUGCAGCAACGCCGCGUGCGGGAUGACGGCCUGCGGGUUGUAAACCGCUUUCGCCUGUGACGAAGCGUGAGUGACGGUAAUGGGUAAAGAAGCACCGGCUAACUACGUG